AUUGAACGCUGGCGGCAGGCCUAACACAUGCAAUUCGAACGAGUGGCGGACGGGUGAGUAAUGUCUGGGAAACUGCCCGAUGUAGGGGGAUAACUACUGGAAACGGUAGCUAAUACCGCAUACCAUCGGAUGUGCCCAGAUGGGAUUAGCUAGUUGGUGGGGUAACGGCUCACCAAGGCGACGAUCCCUAGCUGGUCUGAGAGGAUGACCGGUCACACUGGAAAUGAGACACGGUCCAGACUACGACGGGAGGCAGCAGUGGGGAAUAAUGGACAAUGGGCGCAAGCCGGAGACAGCCAUGCCGCGUGUAUGAAGAAGGCAUUCGGGUUGUAAAGUACUUGCAGCGGUGAGGCGGUACCCGCAGAAGAAGCACCGGCUAACUCCGUGCCAGCAGCCGCGUUAAUAC
RNAcentral lists this ribosomal RNA (406 nucleotides) under uncultured bacterium. RNAcentral describes it as "partial 16S ribosomal RNA". It matches the Rfam family "Bacterial small subunit ribosomal RNA", at positions 30 to 526 of the family's 1533-position model. The record is from RNAcentral.